RNAcentral lists this ribosomal RNA (490 nucleotides) under uncultured bacterium. RNAcentral's name for it is "bacterial SSU rRNA". It matches the Rfam family "Bacterial small subunit ribosomal RNA", at positions 501 to 990 of the family's 1533-position model. The record is from RNAcentral.
CUACGUGCCAGCAGCCGCGGUAAUACGUAGGUGGCAAGCGUUGUCCGGAAUUAUUGGGCGUAAAGCGCGCGCAGGCGGAUUGGUCAGUCUGUCUUAAAAGUUCGGGGCUUAACCCCGUGAUGGGAUGGAAACUGCCAAUCUAGAGUAUCGGAGAGGAAAGUGGAAUUCCUAGUGUAGCGGUGAAAUGCGUAGAUAUUAGGAAGAACACCAGUGGCGAAGGCGACUUUCUGGACGAAAACUGACGCUGAGGCGCGAAAGCCAGGGGAGCGAACGGGAUUAGAUACCCCGGUAGUCCUGGCCGUAAACGAUGGGUACUAGGUGUAGGAGGUAUCGACCCCUUCUGUGCCGGAGUUAACGCAAUAAGUACCCCGCCUGGGGAGUACGACCGCAAGGUUGAAACUCAAAGGAAUUGACGGGGGCCCGCACAAGCGGUGGAGUAUGUGGUUUAAUUCGAAGCAACGCGAAGAACCUUACCAAGUCUUGAGAUCCC